AGGCAUUUUGGGAAAGCGUAAAGAAGUGAAGGAUUGGGACAUGAGGCAAAGAUGCCAAGGUUUGCUGCAGUGAGAUGCGGGAAGGCUCUGCCGCACUAAGCUCUCUACAUGGCCGAGGCACCAGACCAGAAUGCGCCCUUUCGACAGGCAGAGAGAGCCAAAGGGGAAAAGAGCUGAGUCAAGGCUGCCAAGUUCCUGCUUCCAGCCCUACCAGCCGGUCACUCGCGCCUUGCAAUGAGGAAACCAGGAGUCCUAUCUAGAGUCUCACUUUCUUGCCUAGGCUGGAGUGCAAUGGCGCGAUCUCGGCUCCUGCAACCUCCGCUUCCCAAGUUCAAGCAAUUCUCCUGCCUCAGCCUCCCAAGUAGCUGAGACUGCAGGCACCUGCCACCACGCCCGGCUAAUUUUUUGUAUUUUUAGUAGAGACGGGGUUUCACCAAUUUGGCCAGGCUGGUCUUGAACUCCUGACCUCAAGUCAUCCACCCACCUUGGCCUCCCAAAGUGCUGGGAUUAUAGGCGUGAGCCACCAUGCCUGGCCCAGUGUUCACUUUGACAGAAUGUGAAAACAUCUCAAAUUGAAGACAUUAUGAAAUAAGCCAGUCACAAGACAACAAAUAUUGUAUUAGUCCCCUUAUAUGAGGGACCUAGAGUAGUCAAAUUUUAUAAAGACAGAAAGUAGAAUGGUGGUUGUCUGGGAGGGAAUAUGGAAUUAUUGUUUAAUGGAUACAGUGUUUUAGUUUGGGAAGAUGAAGUUCUGGAGAUAGAAGGUGGUAAUUGUUGCACAACAAUGUGAAUGUAUUUAAUGCCAUUAAAUUGUUCACUUAAAAAUGGUUAAA
Molecule: long non-coding RNA, 833 nt
Organism: Homo sapiens (human)
Lineage: Eukaryota; Metazoa; Chordata; Mammalia; Primates; Hominidae
Source: Ensembl